Molecule: ribosomal RNA, 279 nt
Filed under: uncultured bacterium
Lineage: Bacteria
Description: partial 16S ribosomal RNA
Rfam family: Bacterial small subunit ribosomal RNA
Source: RNAcentral
UGCCAGCCGCCGCGGUAAUACGGAGGGUGCAAGCGUUGUCCGGAUUUACUGGGCGUAAAGGGUGUGUAGGCGGCAUGGUAAGUCUCAUGUGAAAUCUCCCGGCUUAACUGGGAGGGGUCAUGGGAAACUGCCAAGCUAGAAGGCAGUAGAGGAGAGCGGAAUUCCGGGAGUAGUGGUGAAAUGCGUAGAUACCCGGAGGAACACCCGUGGCGAAGGCGGCUCUCUGGGCUGUCCUUGACGCUGAGGUGCGAAGGUGUGGGGAGCAAACAGGAUUAGAUA